GUGUCAGCAGCCGCGGUAAUACGGAGGGUGCGAGCGUUGUCCGGAAUCACUGGGCGUAAAGGGCGCGUAGGCGGCUGGGGAAGUCCAUGGUGAAAGCCCGCGGCUCAACUGCGGGUCGGCCAAGGAUACUCCUCGGCUCGAGUCGACUAGAGGCAGAUGGAAUUCCGGGUGUAGCGGUGGAAUGCGUAGAGAUCCGGAAGAACACCGGUGGCGAAGGCGGUCUGCUGGGGUCGGACUGACGCUGAGGCGCGACAGCGUGGGGAGCAAACAGGAUUAGAUACCCGAGUAGUCC
Molecule: ribosomal RNA, 292 nt
Filed under: uncultured bacterium
Lineage: Bacteria
Description: partial 16S ribosomal RNA
Rfam family: Bacterial small subunit ribosomal RNA
Source: RNAcentral